UACGAGGGGGGCUAGCGUUGUUCGGAAUCACUGGGCGUAAAGCGCGCGUAGGCGGCCAUACAAGUCAGGGGUGAAAUCCCGGGGCUCAACCCCGGAAUUGCCUUUGAAACUGCAUGGCUAGAGUUCGGUAGAGGGUGGUGGAAUUCCUAGUGUAGAGGUGAAAUUCGUAGAUAUUAGGAGGAACACCAGUGGCGAAGGCGGCCACCUGGGCCGAUACUGACGCUGAAGCGCGAAAGCGUGGGGAGCAAACAGG
RNAcentral lists this ribosomal RNA (253 nucleotides) under uncultured bacterium. Its description in RNAcentral is "partial 16S ribosomal RNA". It matches the Rfam family "Bacterial small subunit ribosomal RNA", at positions 524 to 776 of the family's 1533-position model. The record is from RNAcentral.